This is a long non-coding RNA of Ruditapes philippinarum (Manila clam), 245 nucleotides long. RefSeq lists it as uncharacterized. Lineage: Eukaryota; Metazoa; Mollusca; Bivalvia; Venerida; Veneridae. The transcript is spliced from 3 exons. The record is from RefSeq and is a predicted model, not a curated record.
UUCAGAUAUGAAACAUGAUCUAUGAUUUGUGUGACCACAUCGUACUAGAUCUUUAAUUUUAACAAUAUUUUAAGAUUUAUUAUAUCUGUGUUUUCAGAACUCGAAAAAAUCUCGUUCAGCUAGGAUAAAAACCAAAGAUGAGGAACCAUCUCGUUCAGAAUCGAGGAGCCAAUGUGAAGAGAAACCAUCUCGUUCGAGGCACCAAUAUGUAAGUAAUAUAAUACAAAAUUUAAUAUACAACCCAA